GGUUGAUCCUGCCGGAGGCCAUUGCUAUUGGGAUCCGAUUUAGCCAUGCUAGUCGCACGAGUUCAGACUCGUGGCGAAUAGCUCAGUAACACGUGGCCAAACUACCCUUCGGAACACAAUACCCUCGGGAAACUGAGGCUAAUAGUGUAUACCAUACCACCACUGGAAUGAGUGGUAUGCCAAACGCUCCGGCGCCGAAGGAUGUGGCUGCGGCCGAUUAGGUAAACGGUGGGGUAACGGCCCACCGUGCCAAUAAUCGGUAUGGGUCAUGAGAGUGAGAACCCAAAGACGGAAUCUGAGACAAGAUUCCGGGCCCUACGGGGCGCAGCAGGCGCGAAACCUUUACACUGCACGACAGUGCGAUAGGGGGAUCCCAAGUGCACAGGCAUAGCGCCUGUGCUUUUCGGUACCCUAAGGCGGUACCAGAAUAAGGGCUGGGCAAGACCGGUGCCAGCCGCCGCGGUAAUACCGGCAGCCCAAGUGAUGGCCGAUCUUAUUGGGCCUAAAGCGUCCGUAGCUGGCCGCGCAAGUCCAUCGGGAAAUCCACCUGCUCAACAGGUGGGCGCCCGGUAGAAACUGCGUGGCUUGGGACCGGAAGCGCGACGGGUACGUCCGGGGUAGGAGUGAAAUCCCGUAAUCCUGGACGGACCGCCGAUGGCGAAAGCACGUCGCGAGAACGGAUCCGCCAGUGAGGGACGAAAGCCAGGGUCUCGAACCGGAUUAGAUACCCGGGUAGUCCUGCCCGUAAACAAUGUCUGCUAGGUGUGGCUCCCACUACGAGUGGGUGCUGUGCCGUAGGGAAGCCGCUAAGCAGACCGCCUGGGAAGUACGUCCGCAAGGAUGAAACUUAAAGGAAUUGGCGGGGGAGCACUACAACCGGAGGAGCCUGCGGUUUAAUUGGAUUCAACGCCGG
Molecule: ribosomal RNA, 913 nt
Filed under: uncultured haloarchaeon
Lineage: Archaea; Methanobacteriati; Methanobacteriota; Halobacteria; Halobacteriales; Halobacteriaceae
Description: bacterial SSU rRNA
Rfam family: Archaeal small subunit ribosomal RNA
Source: RNAcentral